This 253-nucleotide ribosomal RNA is filed under the name uncultured bacterium. Its description in RNAcentral is "partial 16S ribosomal RNA". It matches the Rfam family "Bacterial small subunit ribosomal RNA", at positions 524 to 776 of the family's 1533-position model. The record is from RNAcentral.
UACGUAGGGGGCUAGCGUUGUCCGGAAUCAUUGGGCGUAAAGAGCGCGUAGGCGGCUAGAUAAGUCCGGUGUGAAAGUCACAGGCUCAACCUGUGAAUGCCGCUGGAAACUGUCUGGCUAGAGUCCGGAAGGGGCGAGUGGAAUUCCUGGUGUAGCGGUGAAAUGCGCAGAUAUCAGGAGGAACACCAACGGCGAAGGCAGCACUCUGGGCCGGUACUGACGCUGAGGAGCGAAAGCGUGGGGAGCAAACAGG